AGAGUCUGAUCCUGGCUCAGAAUGAACGCUGGCGGCGUGCCUAACACAUGCAAGUCGAACGAGAAACUCCGGGCUUGCUCGGAGAAGUAAAGUGGCGCACGGGUGAGUAACGCGUGGGUAAUCUGCCCCUGAAUCUGGGAUAACAUCGCGAAAGCGUUGCUAAUACCGGAUAUUGUCAUAGGAGUAUUGCUCCAAUGAUGAAAGGUGACCUCUUCAUGAAAGUUGCCGUUUAGGGAGGAGCCCGCGUACCAUUAGCUUGUUGGCGGGGUAAUGGCCCACCAAGGCUACGAUGGUUAGCUGGUCUGAGAGGAUGAUCAGCCACACUGGAACUGAAACACGGUCCAGACUCCUACGGGAGGCAGCAGUGAGGAAUUUUGCGCAAUGGGGGAAACCCUGACGCAGCAACGCCGCGUGAGUGAAGAAGGCUUUCGGGUCGUAAAGCUCUGUCAAGUGGGAAAAAAGCUUGCCGAUGAAUAGUCGGUAGGUCUGAUGGUACCGCUAGAGGAAGCACCGGCUAACUCCGUGCCAGCAGCCGCGGUAAUACGGAGGGUGCGAGCGUUGCUCGGAAUUAUUGGGCGUAAAGAGCGUGUAGGCGGGUUGGCAAGUCAGAUGUGAAAGCCCUGGGCUCAACCCAGGAAGUGCAUUUGAAAACUGCCUUUCUAGAGUAUGGGAGAGGAGAGUGGAAUUCCCAGUGUAGAGGUGAAAUUCGUAGAUAUUGGGAGGAACACCCGUGGCGAAGGCGACUCCCUGGACCAAUACUGACGCUGAGACGCGAAAGCGUGGGGAGCAAACAGGAUUAGAUACCCUGGUAGUCCACGCCGUAAACGAUGAGAACUAGGUGUAGCGGGUAUUGACCCCUGCUGUGCCGGAGCUAACGCAUUAAGUUCUCCGCCUGGGGAGUACGGCCGCAAGGCUAAAACUCAAAGGAAUUGACGGGGGCCCGCACAAGCGGUGGAGCAUGUGGUUUAAUUCGACGCAACGCGAAGAACCUUACCUGGGUUUGACAUCCUCUGACAGUCUCGGAAACGGGAUCUUUCCUGCUUGCAGGAACAGAGUGACAGGUGCUGCAUGGCUGUCGUCAGCUCGUGUCGUGAGAUGUUGGGUUAAGUCCCGCAACGAGCGCAACCCUUGUCUUUAGUUGCCAGUAUUAAGUUAGGCACUCUAAAAAUACUGCCUCGGAUAACGGGGAGGAAGGUGGGGAUGACGA
This 1207-nucleotide ribosomal RNA is filed under the name metagenome. Its description in RNAcentral is "bacterial SSU rRNA". It matches the Rfam family "Bacterial small subunit ribosomal RNA", at positions 8 to 1185 of the family's 1533-position model. The record is from RNAcentral.